AUUGAACGCUGGCGGCAGGCCUAACACAUGCAAGUCGAACGGUAACAGGAAGCAGCUUGCUGCUUUGCUGACGAGUGGCGGACGGGUGAGUAAUGUCUGGGAAACUGCCCGAUGGAGGGGGAUAACUACUGGAAACGGUAGCUAAUACCGCAUAACGUCGCAAGACCAAAGAGGGGGACCUUAGGGCCUCUUGCCAUCGGAUGUGCCCAGAUGGGAUUAGCUAGUAGGUGGGGUAACGGCUCACCUAGGCGACGAUCCCUAGCUGGUCUGAGAGGAUGACCAGCCACCCUGGAACUUGGACACGGUCCAGACUCCUACGGGAGGCAGCAGUGGGGAAUAUUGCACAAAGGGCGCAAGCCUGAUGCAGCCAUGCCGCGUGUAUGAAGAAGGCCUUCGGGUUGUAAAGUACUUUCAGCGGGGAGGAAGGGAGUAAAGUUAAUACCUUUGCUCAUUGACGUUACCCGCAGAAGAAGCACCGGCUAACUCCGUG
This 490-nucleotide ribosomal RNA is filed under the name uncultured bacterium. Its description in RNAcentral is "partial 16S ribosomal RNA". It matches the Rfam family "Bacterial small subunit ribosomal RNA", at positions 30 to 507 of the family's 1533-position model. The record is from RNAcentral.